GCGGUCAUGGUGGAAUUGGCAGACGCGCUAGAUUCAGGUUCUAGUGGUAGCAAUACCGUGGAGGUUCGAGUCCUCUUGACCGCA
This 84-nucleotide transfer RNA is filed under the name Paenibacillus larvae. RNAcentral describes it as "tRNA-Leu(cag)". It matches the Rfam family "tRNA". From Rfam's summary of the family: Transfer RNA (tRNA) molecules are approximately 80 nucleotides in length. The record is from RNAcentral. Lineage: Bacteria; Bacillati; Bacillota; Bacilli; Caryophanales; Paenibacillaceae. RNAcentral also lists the same sequence under 2 other names.